Molecule: ribosomal RNA, 440 nt
Filed under: uncultured bacterium
Lineage: Bacteria
Description: partial 16S ribosomal RNA
Rfam family: Bacterial small subunit ribosomal RNA
Source: RNAcentral
CCUACGGGUGGCUGCAGUGAGGGAUAUUGGUCAAUGGGGGAAACCCUGAACCAGCAACGCCGCGUGAGGGAAGACGGUUUUCGGAUUGUAAACCCCUGUCCUCUGUGAAGCUAAUGACGGUAGCAGAGGAGGAAGCUCCUGCGUACUACGUGCCAGCAGCCGCGGUAAUACGUAGGGAGCACGCGUUGUCCGGAUUUACUGGGUGUAAAGGGUGCGUAGGCGGGCUUGCAAGGCAGAAGUGAAAUCUAUGGGCUUAACCCAUAAACUGCUUUUGAAACUGUAAGUCUUGAGUGAAGUAGAGGUAGGCGGAAUGCCUGGUGUAGCGGUGAAAUGCGUAGAGAUCGGGAAGAACACCAGUGGCGAAGGCGGCCUACUGGGCUUUAACUGACGCUGAGGCACGAAAGCGUGGGUAGCAAACAGGAUUAGAUACCCCGGUAGUC